ACCCGCACAAGCGGUGGAUGAUGUGGUUUAAUUCGAUGCAACGCGAAAAACCUUACCCACCUUUGACAUGUACGGAACCCUUUAGAGAUAGAGGGGUGCUCGAAAGAGAGCCGUAACACAGGUGCUGCAUGGCUGUCGUCAGCUCGUGUCGUGAGAUGUUGGGUUAAGUCCCGCAACGAGCGCGACCCUUGUCAUUAGUUGCUACAUUCAGUUGGGCACUCUAAUGAGACUGCCGGUGACAAGCCGGAGGAAGGUGGGGAUGACGUCAAGUCCUCAUGGCCCUUAUAGGUGGGGCUACACACGUCAUACAAUGGCUGGUACAAAGGGUUGCCAACCCGCGAGGGGGAGCCAAUCCCAUAAAGCCAGUCGUAGUCCGGAUCGUAGUCUGCAACUCGACUACGUGAAGUCGGAAUCGCUAGUAAUCGUGGAUCAGAAUGUCACGGUGAAUACGUUCCCGGGUCUU
This 463-nucleotide ribosomal RNA is filed under the name uncultured Rhodoferax sp. RNAcentral's name for it is "bacterial SSU rRNA". It matches the Rfam family "Bacterial small subunit ribosomal RNA", at positions 919 to 1382 of the family's 1533-position model. The record is from RNAcentral. Lineage: Bacteria; Pseudomonadati; Pseudomonadota; Betaproteobacteria; Burkholderiales; Comamonadaceae.